GACGAACGCUGGCGGCGUGCUUAACACAUGCAAGUCGAACGGAAAGGCCCUGCUUUUGUGGGGUGCUCGAGUGGCGAACGGGUGAGUAACACGUGAGUAACCUGCCCUUGACUUUGGGAUAACUUCAGGAAACUGGGGCUAAUACCGGAUAGGAGCUCCUGCUGCAUGGUGGGGGUUGGAAAGUUUCGGCGGUUGGGGAUGGACUCGCGGCUUAUCAGCUUGUUGGUGGGGUAGUGGCUUACCAAGGCUUUGACGGGUAGCCGGCCUGAGAGGGUGACCGGCCACAUUGGGACUGAGAUACGGCCCAGACUCCUACGGGAGGCAGCAGUGGGGAAUAUUGCACAAUGGGCGGAAGCCUGAUGCAGCAACGCCGCGUGCGGGAUGACGGCCUUCGGGUGGUAGACCGCUUUCGCCUGUGACGAAGCGUGAGUGACGGUAAUGGGUAAAGAAGCACCGGCUAACUACGU
Molecule: ribosomal RNA, 467 nt
Filed under: uncultured bacterium
Lineage: Bacteria
Description: partial 16S ribosomal RNA
Rfam family: Bacterial small subunit ribosomal RNA
Source: RNAcentral